UUAAAAUCUGUUUAGGAUUUGGAUAAUUCAAAUUCAAAUCCGAAUUCCAAGAAGAUUAACGAACCCAAAUGUGACCCGAAUUCGAGUCAGAUAUUAAAAUCUCAAUCCAUGUCCAAUAAUUUGUAGAUUUGGAGUUGGAUCGAAUCAGAUAAUAUCUGGUCAUCUUUCAUCCUAGGAUUUUAUUUAUCUAUUUAUAUAUGUAUUUUUUAAUUUUUAUGGGGUUAAAAUGUGGGUUAAAGGGCAUAAGACUUAUUUAAACUACAAUCUAUUUGUGCUGCCUAAUAUUUCAAUUCAUUUGAUUUAGAUUAUUGAAUUAUUUAUCCUGUUUAGGGUUUGGGUGUGCCUAGCUAACAACCUUGAUUAGAAUGUCUCACCUAAUUAAUUAAGUUUGCAAUUAAUUUAACAACCUUGAUAGGAAUAUCUGAUCACCUGAGUAAAUUCACAUGACUCGAUCACGUUUUAACAAGCUUUAAAUUUUAA
Molecule: long non-coding RNA, 480 nt
Filed under: Ananas comosus (pineapple)
Lineage: Eukaryota; Viridiplantae; Streptophyta; Magnoliopsida; Poales; Bromeliaceae
Description: long non-coding RNA (ACOM_LNC006913)
Source: RNAcentral